CACAAUGAGGUUACUGUAGUUUGACUGUACAUACACUUGGUCCCUAGCCAUUCGGGUCCUUGCGGUGCAUGUUGGCUGCAGUAGGUUCAUUGUAGGAAUAGGGUGCGCACUCAGAUGGAAUCUAUCUCCCUUGGUAGAUAGGGGUGUUAGUCCUAUGUGAUUUAUGAGACUGAGUUUAGAAGACCUUGGCCAGGGCAGAAUAAAAUAGCGGAAAAGGGUUUCCGAUAUUAGAAACUCGAGUCGAAUAAAUUUAACAUAUGACAGACGAUGGGGUUUGACGAGUUAUUCCAUAACCUCCGUCUAGUCGGGACUCAUGAUAGAAGGAUUGUAUCACACGGUAACUGCACCAAGAGGUUCAGUAUUCCAUUCUACUGGAAUGCCACUACAUGCUGCUAGGCGUCACUCGUGGAUUGUGAGACUCAUGAGAAUUAUCUAGAUGAUCGAUAAUUCUCAUUGGGCUGAGUUGGAAUUGUUCCGAUCCACUGAAAGGAGUUUCAGUGAUAUUGUUGAUAGUGAUCAAAAUAUAUCUCACUACCAGAUAGAAUAGAACCUAUGGGGUCACACACAUAAGAGGUUGUGAUUGAUCGGAUAGCUAGAUCGCGAUUAUUGAAUUGCCGGAGGACCUAAUUGUCAAUAUAAUGAUAAUUGGACUAAUUUGUAAUUAUUACAAAUUAGUGGUAUUAAAGUGUAAAUGUUACUAGAGAGGACUUACUAAUAGUUAGUAAAUUAUAAGAGGACUUAUGUGCAAAUGUUGCAUUAUUAAUUUGAUAAGAUCAAAUUAAUAUAAAAUUCAAGUCGAAUCAAAUUAGGAUUUGAUCGAUCUAACUAAUUAAGGAAAAGAUAAAUUUAAAUCUAGAUUUAUAUUUAUCCUUAAUUGUCAUUAUAUUAUUAGGAAUAGAAUUAUAUUCCUAUAUAUAAUAUACGAGAGUUUUUAGAAAGCUCUAGCCGUUAUCUAUCCUCUCUUCUCUCUUCCAUCUUCUAGCAAGAAAGACGUCCUUUUGCAAGGGAGCUAGCACCCCGGUGAGGAUAUUGAUCAAAUCAAGAACCUCGUGUGGAUACCUAUAGAGGCCGGACGCGUGUGCGGCUUCAAGAGAACCCGAUUUCACGAUCAUCAAAUUGAUGCAAGGAUUUAUCCGCGAAAAAGGUAAUGAUUCGAUCUUACUUUUCUCCUUUAAUCUUAAAGAACAUGAGGGAUCCUAAUUGCGUGGUUUUUGAGAUUGGAUCUCGAGAGUUUUUAAAAAUCAAAUUUGUUUGAUUUCUUUUUCCGCUGCGUUUUUACCGUACGCAAUUUUCUAAUAGUGGUAUCAGAGCCAUCCUCAUGUUUUUAAGAUUAAAAUUAUGAAUUUAGGUAUUCUAAACCGUUUUUUGCCGGUAGAACGAUUUAUAGAUCGUUUUUGGCUAAUUCGAAAAGUCCGAAUUGAUGAAACAAUUUAAUUAAUGAUUUCUUGUUUUCUAUAAAAAAAAAAAACAAAAAAGAGAAAAAAAAAAAGUUACUGUUGCAAUUGCUGUAGCAUCCGUACGGACGCUACUGUAGCGUCUGUACGGACAUCAAAAAUUUUUUAAAAUUUUUAAUUUUUUUGUAAUAAAUUGAUUAGAUCAAUUCAAUUUUUAAAUAAAAGAAAAAGGGAAAUCUAAUUUGAUUAGAUCAAAUCUUGAUGAGAUCAAGUUGUUAUUUUUGACAAUUAAAUUUUUGAUCAAGAUUAUAAACGUUCAAUAAGAUUGAUUGUUUUUAGUGAUUUAGUCACUAUUAUUUUUCGAAUCAUCUUUUAACGGUUAAUUAGAAUACCCAAAAUUUUUUAUUUAUAUGUGAUGUAUGAGAUACAUAUCGGUGAUGAUCAUGGAUAGCGACCUAUUUAUAUUUCGACAUGUGAUGUAUGAUGUGUAUGCAGAAUCCUGUAAUUUUAAAUUUGUUUAAAUUAAGGAAUUUGUAUUAGAGAUGGCUAUAGUUGUGCCUGCGUGCACAAGCCGAUUUAUUUGGAGACCUGCGUGUCUCAAUAGAUUAGAGAUAAAAGUUAUCAAAUGUAAUUAAUUUUUAUUUCAUUUUUUAUUAUUGGGUUGUAUAAUGUUUGGUUGCACGUCAUUGGUUGAUCGGUUGCAAGCCUAAAAGUUCGCAAGGCCCGGAUAGAGACGAAUACUUGAUGGCGGUCGGAUCAAGGUGUUGAUAAGGAUCGGAUCAAGUUGAAGCUCCAGAUCGGAUCAAGAAGUUGAAGACAAUCAAACCAAUGACGUGUGUGUGCUUGUAAUUUAUGACCCUAAGACCCCGAUUCCGACUCAGUGGCUCGAGUCCGAAUCCACUUCUAAGAUCCAUGAUCAUCACCAGUUUAAUUAUGUUUGUUUGCGCGGAUUGAUUUUUUAUUUUAUUUGCAUUAGAUGUAAAUAAAUAAAAUAUUUUUUGAGACCUAAAUAAAUCUCCUCAUAAAUAUUAAGUCGAGCGGUCUUCCGCCGUUGUAGAAGUGCGGGCGCUUUUCUGGUGUUGAUUGGCACGGCUGGUUACAGUGGUCAGUUGCAUCGGGAAUUCGCAACCACUCUAUUAGCAUGAGAUGCUGCGGAGUAAAGAUGGGGUUGGGCCCAAUAACUGUCAGGUGAGGGACCCAAUGACGGCUUUGCUUACGCGUUUGAACGGUGGGUCUGACUUAACUAAGGAAUGGGGCCAAUAACUGUCAGGUGAGGCCUACAGGACUUAGAGACCGAUCACUGCAAUUUGCUUGAGAAGCAUUGGACAAGAGUUGUCCACUCAUCGGUUUGCAUAUCACCAAUAACUGUUAGGUGAGGUGGUACGUUAAAUUGGUGGGACCGCAGUACCCACUUGAAACCUCUUGUCGCGUUGGGUUUCCGUUUCUCUACCCGAGGAGUGUAAGAGACUCGAGAAAACAGUGGGAGGCUAAAUUUGUUUUUAAAAUCCCUAAAACAAUUUUUCAAAACAAAUACAAAUAUCUAACUUGAAUCUUUACUCUCUGCAAAGUAAAUGUCUGCUUCCAAUUAUCUCUCUCGUAUUCUCGACACAAAAUCCUUAACUGAAAUUAAUUAUAAAGACUGGCUAAGGAAUUUAAAAAUAGUUUUAAAUUCCAAUAAGCUCUGCAUUGUUCUCGACCAGGUAAACCUCACGUUGCCAAAACGUCCAAUAACUAACAGAAGGGCAGUCCGUUCAUGAUCAUUGUUUGACAAUGAUCAUAGACCUCGAGGAGCUUGAGAAGCUUGGCGUAAAAUGGAUAAGGAAUUGCAAGUUGAUCUGAUCCUGCAAUCCCUUCCUGUAUCAUAUGGACAGUUUAUUGUAAACUACCAUAUGAAUAAAAUUGACUGCACCAAUGCAGAGUUAUUGAACAUGUUGGUAAUAAUAGAGGGGACUUUUGAAAAGUUCAAAGGGAACGGUUCACGUUGUGGAGCGAGCUUCCUCUUCUAAAAGAAAGUCUAAUUGGAAGAAGAAACCCGCGAAGAAACAAAAGACGGAGAACAAGCCCAAGAAGGAAGCUCCUAAGAAAAGGGCCGCUAAUAAAGGAAAAUGUUUCCACUACAAUGUUGACGGUCAUUGUGAGAGGAACUGUCCUUUCUACCUGGAGAGCUUAAAGAAUAAGAGGAAGGACACACCUUCGGAAGGUAUGUCAGACUUGCUCGUAAUAGAAACUAACGGUUUCCUCUACUUCCAGAAAGAGAAAGUAGAGGGCUUAGGGAAGGUGAAGUGACCCUACGGGUAGGCAACGGGGCAAGAGUUGCUACUGUGGCUGCUGGCACCUAUCCUUUGCGACUACCGUCAGGAUAUGUUUUAUUACUUAAAGACUGCAAUUAUGUACCUCCUGCUAGCAGAAAUUUGAUUUCUGCACAGGAUGGUUUAAUUUUGACAAAAACUACUGCAUAAUUUAUUUUAGAAAUAAAAUUAUUGGCCGUGGUUUUAUGAUUGACAGUCUUUAUCAUUUACAUAUGGAUGUAUCUACAAAUAUUUCUGAGCAAGUAGUGACUGCUGUUGGGUCUAAGAGACCUAGAGAUGAGAUGAACCUAAAGUAUAUGUGGCACCUCAGGCUUGGUCAUAUUGAAGAAGAAAGGAUCAAUAAAUUGGAUAAAGAUGGGCUUCUCGGCUCAUUGACUUCAGAGUCUUAUCCAGUUUGUGAAUCUUGUCUUCAAGGAAAAUUGACUAAAUUACCCUUUGUAGGACAAGGGGAAAGGGCCACUGAGAUACUUUCCUUGAUACACACUGAUGUGUGUGGGCCAUUUGAUGUGCAUGCUAGGGGAGGUUAUCUCUACUUCAUAACAUUUACCGAUGAUUAUUCACGGUAUGGGUAUGUGUAUCUUGUAAAACACAAGUCUGAGAAUUUUGAAAAGUUCAAAGAAUUCAGAUAUGAAGUAGAAAAACAAACUGAAAAAUCCAUCAAGGUUCUUCGAUCAGAUCGAGGAGGAGAAUACCUUAGUGGAGAGUUCCUAAAUUAUCUCAAAGAAAACGGCAUAGUCUCACAGUGGACUCCUCCGGGAACACCUCAACUCAACGGGGUGUCAGAACGGAGAAACCGAACCUUAUUGGAUAUGGUUCGAUCUAUGAUGAGCUUCACUGAUCUUCCUUUAUUUCUUUGGGGACAUGCUUUGCUUGCCGCUGCUUAUUUGUUAAAUAGGGUUCCCUCUAAAUCCGUUACUACCACGCUGUAUGAGAUGUGGCAUGGUAAGAAACCAAGUCUUGGUCAUAUCAAGAUUUGGGGGUGUCCGGCCUAUGUUAAGCGACUACAGGCGGACAAGUUAGAGGCUAGGUCUGAGAGGGCUCGUUUUAUUGGAUAUCCUAAAGAAACCUUAGGUUACCAUUUUUAUAUCCCAGAGAAUCACAAUAUAGUUGUGAGCAAACAUGCUAUUUUCUUGGAAAAACAGUUUAUUCAAGAAGCUAGUGGGAGAAAAAUUGAGCUUGAAGAGAGAGUCUCUGAAGAGCAACGAGUCAUCAAACCUAUAGAACCUAUUCAAGUUGAGCCAGUACAUGUUGUACCUCCUCCACUUCGUAGGUCGAGUAGAAUCUCCCAUACCACUAAAAGAUACUUAGGUAUCGUUACAGAGGAAGUAGAGGAAAUGUUCCUCAUGGGAGAUAGGGAACAUGGAGAUAAUCCCAAAACCUACAACCAGGCGAUGUCUGACAUUGAUUCCGAGAAAUAGCUGGAUGCCAUGAAGUCAGAAAUUCACUCAAUGCAUUCCAACCAGGUUUGGAUUUUGGUAGAUCCACCAGAAGGUAUAGUACCUAUUGGGUGUAAAUGGAUCUACAAAAGAAAGAUAGGUUCGGAUGGAAAGGUAGAGACCUAUAAAGCAAGGCUGGUUGCAAAAGGUUAUAGUCAACGCGAAGACAUUGACUAUCAGGAGACCUUUUCACCUGUGGCCAUGCUUAAAUCUAUUCGAACACUGCUUGCCCUUGCAGCAUACUAUGAUUAUGAGAUCUGGCAAAUGGAUGUGAAAACUGCUUUCCUAAAUGGAUAUCUUGAGGAAGAUAUCUAUAUGGAGCAGCCUUUGGGUUUCACUUCCGGUGACGAAAGUCACAAAGUAUGCAAGUUGCAACGGUCCAUUUAUGGACUUAAGCAAGCAUCUCGGACUUGGAAUACUCGUUUCGAUAACGUGAUUAAAUCGUUUGAUUUCGUUAAGAAUGAGGAGGAACUAUGUGUUUAUAAGAAGGUCAGUGGGAGAGCUGUCACAUUCCUCGUAUUGUACGUGGAUGACAUUCUCUUAAUUGGGAAUGCCAUUCCAAUGCUGACUUCAGUUAAAAUAUGGUUGUCUAAAGAAUUCUCCAUGAAAGAUCUAGGGGAAGCAUCCUAUAUUUUGGGGAUAAAGGUCUAUAGAGAUAGAUCUAAAAGGAUGCUAGGCCUCUCACAGAAAAUGUACAUAGAAGAGGUGCUGAAGAGGUUCGGCAUGGAAAACUCCAAAAGGAGACUUUUACCUCUUAGACAUGGAAUUUAUCUCUUUAAGAAAAUGUGCUCCAAUACAUUUGAAGAGAUUCAAUUUAUGAGUAAGAUCCCUUAUGCCUCAGCUAUAGGGAGUCUUAUAUACACCAUGUUGUGUACACGAUCUGAUAUCGGGAUUGUUGUGAGUUUCACAAGCAGAUAUCAAUCUAAUCCAGGCGAUGAGCACUGGAUUGCUGUGAAGAACAUACUCAAGUACUUGGGAAGCACUAAGGAUAUGUUCUUGAUCUUUGGAGAAAAAGAGUUGAAAGUACAAGGAUAUACUGAUUCAGACUUUAUGUCUGAUGUUGACGAUAGAAAGUCUACGUCAGGAUGUGUGUUCUUAUGCGAUAGUGGUUUGAUGUAUUGGAAGAGUUCCAAACAACCACUCUACCAUGGAAGUAGAGUAUAUCGCCGCAUCUGAUGUAGGUCUUCUGAUUCAUGAAGUUUGUCGCGGAAUUAAGUGUGAUGUCAUCGGAUGCCAUACCACUCUAUUGCGACAACAAUGGCGCCAUAGCCUUAGCUAAGGAGCCCAGGUCUCAUCAGAAGUCCAAGCAUAUAGAGCGGCGGUUUCAUAUUAUACGCGACUAUCUCGACAAGAAAUACAUCGAGAUGCAGAGAGUAGACUCCACGGAUAACGUGGAAGGCCCAUUGACUAAACCACUUAGCCAGCAGAAGACUGAAGUCCACCUUGAGAAGAUGGGGCUUAGGUAUAUGGCUGAUUGGCUUUAGUGCAAGUGGGAGAUUGUUAGAUGUAUGCCCUAGAAGCCAACCAGGCCGACACAUGUAUUCUUUCUAGGACAUAAUUUUGUAUUUGAUUUUAAAAUAUUAUGAAUAACUUUGGGUUUUUAUUUCCAUUCAUGUUGUGUAUGUGUCCAUGAAUCGUCCAAGGAAUUAAUAAGAUGAUGACAUAUAUUCUCAAGAGUUGAGAAUUUGAGACAUGUGUCAUUGGUGGUUAAUUCCUAAAUGCUCCCGAUCAAUGGAUCAUCACGGGGACGGUGAUUGAUCCAGUGAGAUUGGUGCAUAGGUCGCUUCCCUUUUGGGUAGACGAGUCUCGAGUCGACAGUGUGGGGACACUGAAGCGAAUAUGCAGGUGGUUGUUAGAGAACAAGGGUACCGAGCGUGACCAACGCGAGAAGUCACUUGGAUGUCUACUCACUCGUCAGUGACUUACUCAAUUGUUGCAGUAGUGUGACUGGUCCUUUGACCUGCGGUGCCUCGGCUAUUCACAAUGAGGUUACUGUAGUUUGACUGUACAUACACUUGGUCCCUAGCCAUUCGGGUCCUUGCGGUGCAUGUUGGCUGCAGUAGGUUCAUUGUAGGAAUAGGGUGCGCACUUAGAUGGAAUCUAUCUCCCUUGGUAGAUAGGGGUGUUAGUCCUAUGUGAUUUAUGAGACCGAGUUUAGAAGACCUUGGCCAGGGCAGAAUAAAUAGCGGAAAAGGGUUUCCGAUAUUAGAAACUCGAGUCGAAUAAAUUUAACAUAUGACAGACGAUGGGGUUUGACGAGUUAUUCCAUAACCUCCGUCUAGUCGGGACUCAUGAUAGAAGGAUUGUAUCACACGGUAACUGCACCAAGAGGUUCAGUAUUCCAUUCUACUGGAAUGCCACUACAUGCUGCUAGGCGUCACUGGUGGAUUGUGAGACUCAUGAGAAUUAUCUAGAUGAUCGAUAAUUCUCAUUGGGCUGAGUUGGAAUUGUUCCGAUCCACUGAAAGGAGUUUCAGUGAUAUUGUUGAUAGUGAUCAAAAUAUAUCUCACUACCAGAUAGAAUAGAACCUAUGGGGUCACACACAUAAGAGGUUGUGAUUGAUCGGAUAGCUAGAUCGCGAUUAUUGAAUCGCCGGAGGACCUAAUUGUCAAUAUGUUGAUAAUUGGACUAAUUUGUAAUUGUUACAAAUUAGUGGUAUUAAAGUGUAAAUGUUACAAGAGAGGACUUACUAAUAGUUAGUAAAUUAUAAGAGGACUUAUGUGCAAAUGUUGCAUUAUUAAUUUGAUAAGAUCAAAUUAAUAUAAAAAUAAAGUCGAAUCAAAUUAGGAUUUGAUCGAUCUAAUCAAUUAAGGAAAGGAUAAAUUUAAAUCUAGAUUUAUACUUAUCUUUAAUUGUCAUUAUAUUAUUAGGAAUAGGAUUAUAUUCCUAUAGAUAAUAUACGGGAGUUUUUAGAAAACUCAAGCCGUCAUCUAUCCUCUCUUCUCUCUUCCAUCUUCUAGCAAGAAAGACGUCCUUUUGCAAGGGAGCUAGCACCCCGGUGAGGACAUCGAUCAAAUCAAGAACCUCGUGUGGAUACCUAUAGAGGCCGGACGCGUUUGCGGCUUCAAGAGAACCGAAUUCCACGAUCAUCAAAUUGAGGGGAAGAUCUAUCCGCGAAAAAGGUAAAGAUUCGAUCUUGUUUUUCUUCUUUAAUCUUAAAACAUGAGGGAUCCUAAUUGCGUGGUUUUUGAGAUUGGAUCUCGAGAGUUUUCAAAAAUCAAAUUUGUUUGAUUUUCUUUUCCGCUACGUUUUACCGUACGCAAUUUUCUAACAGUGGUAUCAGAGCCAGGUUCAUGUUUUUAAGAUUAAAAUUAUGAUUUUUGGGUAUUCUAAACCGUUUUUUGCCGAGAAAACGAUUUAUAGAUCGUUUUUGGAAAAUUCGAAAAGAUCAAAGUGAUUAACAAUAUAAUCGAUGGUUUCUAUUUAAAAAAAAAAAGAGUACUCUAGCGAUUUUACUGUAGCAUCCGUACGGAUGCUACUGUAGCAUCCGUACGGACGGAAUUUUUUUUAAAAUUUUUAAAUUUUUUUAAAAAAGGUUGAUUAGAUUGAAAAUAAAAGAUAAUGAAAAAGAUCUAAUUUGAUUAGAUCAAAUUGAUUUCUUGAUGAGAUUAAGAUGUUAUUUUUGUAGAUUUAAUUGUUGAUCAAAAUUAUAAUAAUCAAUAAGAUUGAUUAUGUUUAAUAAUUUAUUCUUUCGAAUCAUCGGUUAACGGUUAAUUAGAAUAUCCAAAAUUUAUUAUUAUGCAUGUGAUGUAUGAGAUACGGUGAUGAUCAUGGAUAGCAACCUAUUUAUUUUUGUUUCGACAUGUGAUGUAUGAUGUGUAUGCAGAAUCCUGUAAUUUUAAAUUUGUUUAAAUUAAGGAUUUUGCAUUAGAGAUGGCUAUAUUUGUGCCUGCGUGCACAAGCCGAUUUAUUUGGAGACCUGCGUGUCUCAAUAGGUUAGAGAUAAACGUUAUCAAAUGUAAUUAAUUUUUAUUUCAUUUUUUUAUUAUUGGAUUGUAUAAUGUAUGGUUGCACGUCAUUGGUUGAUCGGUUGCAAGCCUAAAAAUUCGCAAGGCCCGGAUAAAAAUGAAUACUUGAUGGCGGUCGGAUCAAAGUGUUGAUAAGGAUCAAAUCAAGUUGAAGCUCCAGAUCGGAUCAAGAAGUUGAAGAUGAUCAAACCGAUGACGUGUGUGUGCUUGUAAUUUAUGACCCUACGACCCCGAUUCCGACUCAGUGGCUCGAGUUUGAAUCCACUUCUAAGAUCCAUGAUCAUCACCAGUUUAAUUAUGUUUGUUUGCGCGGAUUGAAUUUUUAUUUUAUUUGCAUUAGAUGUAAAUAAAUAAAAUAUUUUUUGAGACCUAAAUAAAUCUCCUCAUAAAUAUU
RNAcentral lists this long non-coding RNA (9501 nucleotides) under Ananas comosus (pineapple). Its description in RNAcentral is "long non-coding RNA (ACOM_LNC016931)". The record is from RNAcentral. Lineage: Eukaryota; Viridiplantae; Streptophyta; Magnoliopsida; Poales; Bromeliaceae.